UACGUAGGGUGCAAGCGUUGUCCGGAAUUAUUGGGCGUAAAGAGCUCGUAGGCGGUCUGUCGCGUCGGCUGUGAAAUCCCGGAGCUCAACUCCGGGUCUGCAGUCGAUACGGGCAAACUGGAGUACUGCAGGGGAGACUGGAAUUCCUGGUGUAGCAGUGAAAUGCGUAGAUAUCAGGAGGAAUACCGAUGGCGAAGGCAGGUCUCUGGGCUAUAACUGACGCUCAUGCACGAAAGCGUGGGGAGCAAACAGG
RNAcentral lists this ribosomal RNA (253 nucleotides) under uncultured bacterium. RNAcentral's name for it is "partial 16S ribosomal RNA". It matches the Rfam family "Bacterial small subunit ribosomal RNA", at positions 524 to 776 of the family's 1533-position model. The record is from RNAcentral.